GACGAACGCUGGCGGCGUGCUUAACACAUGCAAGUCGAACGGAAAGGCCCUGCUUUUGUGGGGUGCUCGAGUGGCGAACGGGUGAGUAACACGUGAGUAACCUGCCCUUGACUUUGGGUUAACUUCAGGAAACUGGGGCUAAUACCGGAUAGGAGCUCCUGCUGCAUGGUGGGGGUUGGAAAGUUUCGGCGGUUGGGGAUGGACUCGCGGCUUAUCAGCUUGUUGGUGGGGUAGUGGCUUACCAAGGCUUUGACGGGUAGCCGGCCUGAGAGGGUGACCGGCCACAUUGGGACUGAGAUACGGCCCAGACUCCUACGGGAGGCAGCAGUGGGGAAUAUUGCACAAUGGGCGGAAGCCUGAUGCAGCAACGCCGCGUGCGGGAUGACGGCCUUCGGGUUGUAAACCGCUUUCGCCUGUGACGAAGCGUGAGUGACGGUAAUGGGUAAAGAAGCACCGGCUAACUACGUGCCAGCAGCCGCGGUGAUACGUAGGGUGCGAGCGUUGUCCGGAUUUAUUGGGCGUAAAGGGCUCGUAGGUGGUUGAUCGCGUCGGAAGUGUAAUCUUGGGGCUUAACCCUGAGCGUGCUUUCGAUACGGGUUGACUUGAGGAAGGUAGGGGAGAAUGGAAUUCCUGGUGGAGCGGUGGAAUGCGCAGAUAUCAGGAGGAACACCAGUGGCGAAGGCGGUUCUCUGGGCCUUUCCUGACGCUGAGGAGCGAAAGCGUGGGGAGCGAACAGGCUUAGAUACCCUGGUAGUCCACGCUGUAAACGGUGGGUACUAGGUGUGGGGUCCAUUCCACGGGUUCCGUGCCGUAGCUAACGCUUUAAGUACCCCGCCUGGGGAGUACGGCCGCAAGGCUAAAACUCAAAGGAAUUGACGGGGCCCCGCACAAGCGGCGGAGCAUGCGGAUUAAUUCGAUGCAACGCGUAGAACCUUACCUGGGUUUGACAUGGAUCGGGAGUGCUCAGAGAUGGGUGUGCCUCUUUUGGGGUCGGUUCACAGGUGGUGCAUGGCUGUCGUCAGCUCGUGUCGUGAGAUGUUGGGUUAAGUCCCGCAACGAGCGCAACCCUUGUUCACUGUUGUCAGCACGUUAUGGUGGGGACUCAGUGGAGACCGCCGGGGUCAACUCGGAGGAAGGUGGGGAUGACGUCAAGUCAUCAUGCCCCUUAUGUCCAGGGCUUCACGCAUGCUACAAUGGCUGGUACAGAGAGUGGCGAGCCUGUGAGGGUGAGCGAAUCUCGGAAAGCCGGUCUCAGUUCGGAUUGGGGUCUGCAACUCGACCUCAUGAAGUCGGAGUCGCUAGUAAUCGCAGAUCAGCAACGCUGCGGUGAAUACGUUCCCGGGGCU
RNAcentral lists this ribosomal RNA (1346 nucleotides) under uncultured bacterium. RNAcentral's name for it is "partial 16S ribosomal RNA". It matches the Rfam family "Bacterial small subunit ribosomal RNA", at positions 28 to 1381 of the family's 1533-position model. The record is from RNAcentral.